This is a long non-coding RNA of Eurytemora carolleeae, 222 nucleotides long. RefSeq lists it as uncharacterized. Lineage: Eukaryota; Metazoa; Arthropoda; Copepoda; Calanoida; Temoridae. The transcript is spliced from 4 exons. The record is from RefSeq and is a predicted model, not a curated record.
UGGGGGCGGAUACUGUGAGGAUGAAGAUGAAAAAAAGAAGAAAAGUCCUCCAGACCUCUUACAGCUCAGCCAUAUGUAUGGAAACAGACUUGUUAAAACCAUGAGUCGGAGUCAGUCUAGUUUAUCAGAUAGUCGUGUUCUGGUAAACACGUGUUCCAGGCCCAGCCGACCCCGUCCUGUAUCAGAUACCCAGGCUCCCCAGCUGGUCAACCUGGGUAACCU